GGAAAUCUCACCAGGCCCGGACACCGCGAGGAUUGACAGACUGAGAGCUCUUUCUCGAUUCGGUGGGUGGUGGUGCAUGGCCGUUCUUAGUUGGUGGAGCGAUCUGUCUGGUUAAUUCCGAUAACGAACGAGACCCCAACCUGCUAACUAGCCCUCGGGUCCUGCUUCUGUUGGGCCCGACGGAAUGAUUCGCUUCUUAGAGGGACUCGCGGCGCCUAGCCGCACGAAGGGGGGCGAUAA
RNAcentral lists this ribosomal RNA (240 nucleotides) under uncultured eukaryote. RNAcentral describes it as "partial 18S ribosomal RNA". It matches the Rfam family "Eukaryotic small subunit ribosomal RNA", at positions 1208 to 1456 of the family's 1831-position model. The record is from RNAcentral.